This 2405-nucleotide long non-coding RNA is filed under the name Nicotiana tabacum (common tobacco). Its description in RNAcentral is "long non-coding RNA (NTAB_LNC018343)". Lineage: Eukaryota; Viridiplantae; Streptophyta; Magnoliopsida; Solanales; Solanaceae. The record is from RNAcentral.
CCCACAAAAACCACCUUGUACCAUCCGUCUUUACCACCUAUAUGAUAACCAAGUAAUCCAUUUCCUUAUAAAUAUUCCUCCAUUUUGCUCCCAAACUCUUACCUCCUCUUCUUCUUCUUUUCUUUGAUUUUUGCUGUGUUCUCCUCCUUUCGUAAUUUCAAGAAGGAAGUCUAUGGAAGAUUUUGAAGUUCAUCAUAAUCUUCAUAAGAGUGAAAAUUGUUGCAUGGGAAUGAAAGAAGGAGCAAUAAGAGCAGGAGAAGGAUGAGUUAAAGAAUAUGCACAGCUCUUAGGCAAGUCUGACACUUGGCUUAAUUCCAUUUUCAAUUUGAAACUCUCUUUUUCUUUGUCCUCAUAUCAUUCCUUUUUUCUUCACAAUUUAUAAGCUUGGUUCUUUGGUUGUCACGAAAGGGGAAACAAGACAAGAAAGAAGAAAUAUUAAAGGGUUCUAGGGAAAUGGUCUCUUGUAUUGUUAGUUGUAUCAAAGCAACCAAAGACUAAGAAAUCUUCGGAAGGUUUUGUGUUUUCUUUUGAUUUCUUUUCUUUUCCAUUUUUUCUCUAUUGUGUUUUCUGAAGAGAAAUAUCAACUUUGUAAACUCAAAUUUCUGUUGAAAAGUCUGCAAACUCACAAUUCCGAUGUUCUCUUUAACUUUAACUCCACUUUCAAGAACAUAUAUAUAAUUGGGUUCCCUUCCUAUUUCCCUUUUGUUAUUUGGUUUUAUCUCCUUAAUUAAAGAUAACGAUUGAAUACACCGACAAUAUAAUAAAAAAACUUAUAUUAUCAAUUAGUGCAAUUUAACUUGAUAUUAGAAAAAUAAAUCUGUUUAUUUUUUUUAUUAUUUCUUAAAAUUAAUAUUCUCACAUUUCAUUGUUACUAUGUCUCAAAAGAUGCGAUGUCUAUCAGAAUUUUUAGGAUGAAUACCAAGAUGAUUUCGUGAAAUCGUAUCUUGGAAACAAUUUGAGAAAUAAGUAAGAUCGGAAAUAAUAAUAAUGAGAAAAUUAGUUGAAUUUAUUGAUUGUUGUAACUUACUGAGCUUGAUGCAUGCUGGUUGUAAUAAUUAUGAGGUACAUGAUCUUUGUGCACAGAGUGUUAGGUGUGGUACCUUUUCAAGUGUAGCAAUAAUUCCACUUAGGGCUAAAGCUUGUAAUAUUUUGAUUGUAAAGUACAGGAGUUUGUUGACAAUUAUUUAGGGGCGGCUAAGGAAAGUUCAAGUCUUAAUUUACCUACCUUAAAUUAUACUAUAUGUUUCAACCAUGCAUAUACGUAAAUUGUUAAAUAAUUUAUUUUAUAUUUUAUUCAUUUUUAGAACUUAGUAAGCAUCGAGAAGUUAAUGAGAAUCUCAUAAUGCAGAUAUAAUUGGACACCAAGAAUAUUAAAGAAAGAUCAAAUUUGUCACUAUGACUUUGUUUUGACCAAAAUCAGUUUGUCAUUUCUAUGGUCUCAGUGCAAGUUUAUGAAUCAUAUGAAUACUUUAGUGGACUUUGCGCACUAUGCCUUCUAAAGCAAGUUCGUUCAAACUUUUAGGUGAUUUUGAAUGCACCAAUAACUUUUAUCAGUCAUGCCGACGAAUUGAAAUUUAAACAAAUUACUAUAUGAAUACUAAUUAGUGUGACCAUAUGACAUUCAUUAAUUUUUUUAUAAUCGAGAAAGUUUAGAGUGUUAAUGGCACCUAGUUCGAAAUUCGAUUGAACACAUGUCCUCUCUUCUACUCCCUCCCUCCCAAACUAACAGUCACUUCAGUUCAAAAUGUUCUUACAAAAAAAAAAAUUACUUUAAGAAUUCAAGACUAAAUUUGUUAAUUGUUCUCAACUAUAUCCUUAAUAUUGAAGAAAUAGUAGUUCAUUUCAAUACUGCUUAAUUCUUAAAAAGUAUUUAAUAAGAGUAACUUAGAAAACUAUAUCUUGUAUUUAAUUAUUAUUUUCUUAAUGGGCAUCAAAAUAACUAAAACAACAAUUAAAAUGGAAUGGAGGCAGUGUCGGCCGAAGGGGGAAGCAAAUAAAGCAAACGCUUUAGGUCUCCAAAAUUUUGAGGGCCCAUUUUUUUUUAUUAAUAGUAGAUUUAUGAAUUAAUUUUCUUUAAAAAAUUAAGUAUUUUAAAGUAGAAAAGUACAAUUUUUAAUAACCGAAAAACAUAAAUCUUUAAAAUACAUUUGAACAAUUUAAUGUACGAAAAUACUUUUGGUUUUUUAUUUAGCGGUAAAAUGAGAUCACUAGGUGAUGAGAAAUUUAACAAAAAAUGUUGCCUUAACCUCCAAAGUUUCUCAAAAACAUACUUAAUAGUUCCUCUUAUAUGAUGGUUUUGACUUAUUUUUUAAAUUACAAAUAUUACAAAAAAAAAAACAGUACAAGUAGAAGAUAAUACUCUAAUCAACAUAUGCAAUUAAAUAAAAGGACUUGAUUUUUUUCAA